AACGAACGCUGGCGGCAGGCUUAACACAUGCAAGUCGAACGCAUGCCUUCGGGCAUGUGUGGCAGACGGGUGAGUAACGCGUGGGAACCUACCCCUUGGUACGGAAUUGCUCCGUGAAACUGGAGAUAAUACCGUAUGUGUCCUGAGUGACAAAGAUUCAUCGCCAAGGGAUGGGCCCGCGUCGGAUUAGCUAGUUGGUGGGGUAACGGCCUACCAAGGCGACGAUCCGUAGCUGGUCUAAGAGGAUGAUCAGCCACAUUGUGACUGAGACACGGCCCAAACUCCUACGGGAGGCAGGAGUGGGGAAUAUUGGACAACGGGCGCAAGGCUGAACCAGCCAUGCUGGGUGAGUGAUGAAGGCGCGAGGGUUGUAAAGCUCUUUCACCGGUGACGAUAAUGACGGUAACCGGAGAAGAAGCCCCGGCUAACUUCGUG
Molecule: ribosomal RNA, 435 nt
Filed under: uncultured bacterium
Lineage: Bacteria
Description: partial 16S ribosomal RNA
Rfam family: Bacterial small subunit ribosomal RNA
Source: RNAcentral